GACGAACGCUGGCGGCGCGCUUAACACAUGCAAGUCGAACGGAAAGGCCUGCUUUCCCUUGUGGAUUGCGGGUACUCGAGUGGCGAACGGGUGAGUAACACGUGAGUGAUCUGCCCCCAACUUGGGUAUAAGCCUGGGAAACUGGGUCUAAUUCCCGAUAGGACUGCAGGGUGGUGCCUGUGGUGGAAAACGAUUUUCUAGUGGUUGGGGAUGAGCUCGCGGCCUAUCAGCUUGUUGGUGGGGUAAUGGCCUACCAAGGCGGCGACGGGUAGCCGGCCUGAGAGGGUGGACGGCCACAUUGGGACUGAGAUACGGCCCAGACUCCUACGGGAGGCAGCAGUGGGGAAGAUUGCACGAUGGGCGGAAGCCUGAUGCAGCGACGCCGCGUGGGGGAUGACGGCCUUCGGGUUGUAAACUCCUUUCGACCGCGAGGAAGCCACCUGGUUGGAAGGGUGGUGACGGUAGUGGUAGAAGAAGCACCGGCUAACUACGUG
This 494-nucleotide ribosomal RNA is filed under the name uncultured bacterium. RNAcentral's name for it is "partial 16S ribosomal RNA". It matches the Rfam family "Bacterial small subunit ribosomal RNA", at positions 28 to 507 of the family's 1533-position model. The record is from RNAcentral.